This is a non-coding RNA of Mycena capillaripes, 94 nucleotides long. The record is from the annotation of a GenBank genome assembly. NCBI's taxonomy places the organism in Eukaryota, Fungi, Basidiomycota, Agaricomycetes, Agaricales, Mycenaceae.
GCACCGGUAGUGAAUGGUACACACCCGCCGAAAGAAUGUGUAGAAUGUUUCGAUAUUUCGAUGGUGGAGUGGGGUUCGAUUCCCCGUCGGUGCA